GGGUGAGAUCAUACCUGCACUAAUGCAACGGAUCCCAUCAGAACUCCGCAGUUAACCGUGCUUCGGCAAGAGUAGUACUAUGUUGGGUGACCACUUUGGAAGUGUCCUCGUGUUUCUUCUC
RNAcentral lists this ribosomal RNA (121 nucleotides) under Cucumis melo (muskmelon). RNAcentral also lists the same sequence under 1 other name. The record is from RNAcentral. Lineage: Eukaryota; Viridiplantae; Streptophyta; Magnoliopsida; Cucurbitales; Cucurbitaceae.